GGUUCUUUAACAUGCAGAGUUGCACUGUCCCUACAGAAAGGACCUAUACUUUUUAAACUGCCAUUCCAAUUUUUGUUUUGUUUUAAAUAUGAUAACUUUAGAAGACUUAAAGGCGGGGGGUCAUAAAAAUAUCAAAAAUAAUCCCACCCUCAAUGUUUAUUAUCUAGAACUCUGUUUUCUAUUUUGCUUUCAUAUUAUUUUUUGGUAUUUUCUUUUUUAUAUAUUUUUUUCUUUUUUUUUUACAGAGCUCUAGAUAAUAAAAAUAUUCAGAUGUUAAAGUUUGGAGGUAUAAAAACAAGUCAUUCUAAAUCAGAAUAUUGCACAAUUUUAAUGUUAGUGGAUUUUCUCAUUGUUGAAGCCCAUACAGUAACCUAUUUUACAUUAACAUCAUUUGGUCUCUGUAGGAUAGUUGUCUCACAUCUCUUGAUAUCACAACAAAUCAAUUUGUAGGUUCUAUAAAGUGGUCCAAUCCUAUGGUGAAGGGAGGGGGAAUUUUGACUGCCAACCGAAGAGGAUAUUUUUGGACAGAAAUUUAGCCUAUUAAUGCAACAAGCCACAUCCUACUGACACCUCAAAAGAGUUGUGACAAGGGUUCUUUAACGUGCAGAGUGGCACUGUCUGUCCCUACAAAUAGGACCUAUACUUUCCCGCUACCUCUAUGUGUAGACAACAUCACUGUUGUGACAUUCUUAUUUCUAAGCCUUAAUUUAUGUCCGUUACAACGCCCUUAGGGAGGAAAUAGUAGCAGAUAGUAGCAGAUAUUACUACACCCUCAAAUGGAUUGUAGAAGUCCAGUUUACAAUAAUGGUACUUUCAGCACCAUAACCUGCUUUGGUUGUCUUGUCCAGCUCUCAAUGGUCCAAAAUGCUGUACAAUGGAUUAUGAUUUAAAAAUU
This 895-nucleotide long non-coding RNA is filed under the name Mytilus galloprovincialis (Mediterranean mussel). The record is from RNAcentral. Lineage: Eukaryota; Metazoa; Mollusca; Bivalvia; Mytilida; Mytilidae.